This 472-nucleotide ribosomal RNA is filed under the name uncultured bacterium. Its description in RNAcentral is "bacterial SSU rRNA". It matches the Rfam family "Bacterial small subunit ribosomal RNA", at positions 28 to 507 of the family's 1533-position model. The record is from RNAcentral.
GAUGAACGCUGGCGGCGUGCUUAACACAUGCAAGUCGAACGAAGAUGCCGGAGUGCUUGCACUUUGGCAGACUGAGUGGCGGACGGGUGAGUAACGCGUGAGGAACCUGCCUCAAAGAGGGGGACAACAGUUGGAAACGACUGCUAAUACCGCAUAAGCCCACGGCUCGGCAUCGAGCAGAGGGAAAAGGAGCGAUCCGCUUUGAGAUGGCCUCGCGUCCGAUUAGCUAGUUGGUGAGGUAACGGCCCACCAAGGCGACGAUCGGUAGCCGGACUGAGAGGUUGAAACGGCCACAUUGGGACUGAGACACGGCCCAGACUCCUACGGGAGGCAGCAGUGGGGAAUAUUGCACAAUGGGGGAAACCCUGAUGCAGCGACGCCGCGUGGAGGAAGAAGGUCUUCGGAUUGUAAACUCCUGUUGUUGAGGAAGAUAAUGACGGUACUCAACAAGGAAGUGACGGCUAACUACGUG